UACGUAGGGUGCGAGCGUUAAUCGGAAUUACUGGGCGUAAAGCGUGCGCAGGCGGUCUUGCAAGACAGUGGUGAAAUCCCCGGGCUCAACCUGGGAACGGCCAUUGUGACUGCAAGGCUGGAGUACGGCAGAGGGGGAUGGAAUUCCGCGUGUAGCAGUGAAAUGCGUAGAUAUGCGGAGGAACACCGAUGGCGAAGGCAGUCCCCUGGGCCUGUACUGACGCUCAUGCACGAAAGCGUGGGGAGCAAACAGGAUUAGAUACCCUGGUAGUCCACGCCCUAAACGAUGUCAACUGGUUGUUGGGGAUUUACUUCCUCAGUAACGAAGCUAACGCGUGAAGUUGACCGCCUGGGGAGUACGGCCGCAAGGUUAAAACUCAAAG
This 382-nucleotide ribosomal RNA is filed under the name uncultured bacterium. RNAcentral describes it as "bacterial SSU rRNA". It matches the Rfam family "Bacterial small subunit ribosomal RNA", at positions 524 to 906 of the family's 1533-position model. The record is from RNAcentral.